AACGAACGCUGGCGGCAUGCCUAACACAUGCAAGUCGAACGAGACCUUCGGGUCUAGUGGCGCACGGGUGCGUAACGCGUGGGAACCUGCCCUUAGGUUCGGAAUAACUCCCCGAAAGGGGUGCUAAUACCGGCUAAUGUCUUCGGACCAAAGAUUUAUCGCCUUUGGAUGGGCCCGCGUUGGAUUAGCUAGUUGGUAGGGUAAAAGCCUACCAAGGCGACGAUCCAUAGCUGGUCUGAGAGGAUGAUCAGCCACACUGGGACUGAGACACGGCCCAGACUCCUACGGGAGGCAGCAGUGGGGAAUAUUGGACAGCGGGCGAAAGCCUGAUCCAGCAAUGCCGCGUGAGUGAUGAAGGCCUUAGGGUUGUAAAGCUCUUUUACCCGGGUUGAUAAUGACAGUACCGGGAGAAUAAGCUCCGGCUAACUCCGUG
This 433-nucleotide ribosomal RNA is filed under the name uncultured bacterium. RNAcentral describes it as "partial 16S ribosomal RNA". It matches the Rfam family "Bacterial small subunit ribosomal RNA", at positions 29 to 507 of the family's 1533-position model. The record is from RNAcentral.